UACGUAGGGGGCAAGCGUUACUCGGAAUCACUGGGCGUAAAGAGCGCGUAGGCGGGAUAGCAAGUCAGAUGUGAAAUCCUAUGGCUUAACCAUAGAACUGCAUUUGAAACUGUUAUUCUAGAGUAUGGGAGAGGUAGGUGGAAUUCUUGGUGUAGGGGUAAAAUCCGUAGAGAUCAUACAGAACACCGAUUGCGAAGGCAGCUUACCAAGCUACUUCUGACGUUGAGGCACGAAAGCGUGGGUAUCGAACAGG
This 253-nucleotide ribosomal RNA is filed under the name uncultured bacterium. RNAcentral describes it as "partial 16S ribosomal RNA". It matches the Rfam family "Bacterial small subunit ribosomal RNA", at positions 524 to 776 of the family's 1533-position model. The record is from RNAcentral.